Molecule: microRNA precursor, 199 nt
Filed under: Oryza rufipogon (brownbeard rice)
Lineage: Eukaryota; Viridiplantae; Streptophyta; Magnoliopsida; Poales; Poaceae
Description: MIR812 microRNA precursor family
Rfam family: MIR812 microRNA precursor family
Source: Rfam by way of RNAcentral
AAAAAAAUAAAACCUAAGUUUCCGUGUUUAACGUUUGACUGUCCGUCUUAUAUAGAAUUUUUUAUAAUUAGUAGUUUUAUUGUUGUUAGAUGAUAAAACAUAAUUAAUACUUUAUGCGUGACUUGCUUUUUUAAAUUUUUUUUCAUAACUUUUUCAAAUAAGACGAAUGGUCAAACAUUGUACAUGAAAAAUCAGGGUU